UGCCUCUUGUAAACCCAUAAGAGGUAACUCCUGCCCAGUGAAUAAUCUUUCAACGGCCGCGGUAUCCUAACCGUGCAAAGGUAGCAUAAUCAUUUGUCUAUUAAUUGUAGACUCGAAUGAAAGGAUAAACGAAAUAAGAACUGUCUCUGCUGGCUUUUCUAUAAAUUAUAAUUUAGAUGAAGAUAUCUAGAUUUAAAUGAAGGACAAGAAGACCCUAUAGAGCUUUAUCAAAAAAAGAAGCAAUUCUCUUUUUAAGAUUCGGUUGGGGCGACCAAGGGAAGACUAUCACCCUUAUCAUAAAGAUAUAUUUAUCUCCAACAUGACCCUCAUUCAAGAUCAUAAAAACAAGCUACCUUAGGGAUAACAGGCUAAUCUUAUUAAAGAGUCCUUAUCUAUAAUAAGGGUUGGCACCUCGAUGUUGGCUUAGGGUAUCUAUGUGGCGCAAAAGUCAUAAAAAGAUGGUUUGUUCAACCUUCAAAUCCCU
This 484-nucleotide ribosomal RNA is filed under the name Glyphidrilus sp. 6 PJ-2018. RNAcentral's name for it is "partial small subunit ribosomal RNA". It matches the Rfam family "Bacterial large subunit ribosomal RNA", at positions 1817 to 2597 of the family's 2925-position model. The record is from RNAcentral. Lineage: Eukaryota; Metazoa; Annelida; Clitellata; Crassiclitellata; Almidae.